This is a long non-coding RNA of Mugil cephalus (flathead mullet), 1568 nucleotides long. RefSeq lists it as uncharacterized. The transcript has 2 exons. Lineage: Eukaryota; Metazoa; Chordata; Actinopteri; Mugiliformes; Mugilidae. The record is from RefSeq and is a predicted model, not a curated record.
UGAAGACCUGCUGGAAACUGGAGACCUCAGUCUGACCCUGAAAUACCCCAGAGAUAGAGACACCAACACCUACAUCUGUGUAGUCUACGACAAGGAGGGAAAGAUACUGAUGAUUAAACAAGUGGAGCUCAGAGUGAAAGACAGAGUCCAGGUCCAGGAUGUAACGUCUCCUCUUAUGGCUGAAGAGUCAGUUUGAUCAGGUUGUUGAUCUUUGAUCAUUGAUCAGUGAAGGAUCUGAUGGACGAUGGAUGAAGAGAGGAGGACGCUCUGUCAGCUCCUGGUCCUGGUCUGAAGACUCUUUAAGGAUCAGGGUUGACCAACAUGUUGUCCUCGUUGCUCCUAGACUAUAGAUGUUUGUCCUGAUCAGCUGAACACUGAGGACAGAUUUAAAUGAGUCUUUCAAAACAAACAUUUAAAACAGAUGAAGAGACAGAAGACUGCAGCCUCCAGAGGAGAGAGUGGAGAGGUUACUGCUGGAAUUACAGGGUUAACCAGGAAACCACACACAUCCUUUACUCGGUUUGGAGACCAAACAUAGAGUCAAAAGAGAACGAGUCCUGGACCUCAUCAGAAACUGAGACAAACUCCACUGAAGGAUGGAAGCUGUUCAUCACAUCAACUUUAACAGACGUUGCACUGACUUCAUCUCUUGUUGGACGGUUUCUGGUGUCAGUCAUCGUCUCUGACUCUAGUUGUUCUGUUGUGUCCUGCUCUGUUGGUUCUAGUUGGACCUCAGUCUGCAGAACAGAUCAGUCUGAGAGAUCACUCUGAUUGGAUGAUGAGCUAGAACCAGAACCAUGAUGAUCUAGAAGGAAUGAAGACCAACUGAUCAGCUGAUUCAGGAGAGGACAGCUCUGCACCACAACAUGUAGCUUCCUAGUCAGGGAUCUACAGUGCGACAAUUUUCAUCACAUUUGCUGCUGAAAGUGGUUCAGAGUGAAGAGAAACAUGUAUCUAUUAGCACAAGUGUGAAGGAGUCGCGCUGGUAUCUUCUGUAAAAAGUAGAGGAACGUAAUAGGACUCAAAGGGCAGUUGGAAAAUCUGUUUAUGUUGCUGCACUUGUGUUUUGUUGUUGUCGUCGUUUUAGACUCUUCUCAUCACCUAUUGAGGCCAAACUGUGAUGAACUGUCCCUACACAUCUUUUUCUAGACCAUCAGUUUGGACUGAACCAGCUGAUAUUCAUUUACUCUGACCAGGGACAGGAAAGCUUCCUGAUUGUCAUGGUUCUGUGUCUGUCUGUUAUGUUGUGAUCAUGUUUUGAGUUUCCUGUUUUACUUUGUCAACUCUCUUAGUUUCCUGUCUGUGUGUCUCUUGCUUAUUAAUUGGUUUCUCGUGGUGUCAUUGCCCUCAUUAGUUUCACCUGUGUGUGUUUCACCUGUGUCUAUGAAACAUUGUGAUGUGUUCAAUACUUAUUUUACCUGCUGUGUAGUGGAAGGUCCCUGUCCUAGAAACACAGCAGCUAAUGAAUGCAGCCAAUGACCAGUGUUGUUCAAGGAGCACCUUUUGACCAAAUGUCUGUUUUUUUUUUUCAGUCCUGAAAUCGUAAAUAAAAAAUAGUUUGGUUUAAA